Molecule: non-coding RNA, 27 nt
Filed under: Bombyx mori (domestic silkworm)
Lineage: Eukaryota; Metazoa; Arthropoda; Insecta; Lepidoptera; Bombycidae
Source: RNAcentral
UGAGUAUUGAAAGCCAGUUGGAGAUGC